AUUGAACGCUGGCGGCAUGCCUUACACAUGCAAGUCGAACGGUAACAGGUCUUCGGAUGCUGACGAGUGGCGAACGGGUGAGUAAUACAUCGGAACGUGCCUAGUAGUGGGGGAUAACUACUCGAAAGAGUGGCUAAUACCGCAUGAGAUCUACGGAUGAAAGCAGGGGAUCGCAAGACCUUGUGCUACUAGAGCGGCCGAUGGCAGAUUAGGUAGUUGGUGGGAUAAAAGCUUACCAAGCCGACGAUCUGUAGCUGGUCUGAGAGGACGAUCAUACAGACGGGGACUGAAACACGGCCCAGACUCCUACGGGAGGCAGCAGUGGGGAAUUUUGGACAAUGGGCGCAAGCCUGAUCCAGCAAUGCCGAGUGCAGGAUGAAGGCCUUCGGGUUGUAAACUGCUUUUGUACGGAACGAAAAGCCCCGGGUUAAUACCCUGGGGUCAUGACGGUACCGUAAGAAUAAGCACCGGCUAACUACGUGCCAGCCGCCGCCGUAA
Molecule: ribosomal RNA, 498 nt
Filed under: uncultured bacterium
Lineage: Bacteria
Description: partial 16S ribosomal RNA
Rfam family: Bacterial small subunit ribosomal RNA
Source: RNAcentral